RNAcentral lists this ribosomal RNA (253 nucleotides) under uncultured bacterium. RNAcentral describes it as "partial 16S ribosomal RNA". It matches the Rfam family "Bacterial small subunit ribosomal RNA", at positions 524 to 776 of the family's 1533-position model. The record is from RNAcentral.
UACGGAGGGUGCAAGCGUUAUCCGGAUUCACUGGGUUUAAAGGGUGCGUAGGCGGGCAGGUAAGUCAGUGGUGAAAUCUCCGAGCUUAACUCGGAAACUGCCGUUGAUACUAUUUGUCUUGAAUAUUGUGGAGGUAAGCGGAAUAUGUCAUGUAGCGGUGAAAUGCUUAGAUAUGACAUAGAACACCGAUAGCGAAGGCAGCUUGCUACACAAUUAUUGACACUGAGGCUCGAAAGCGUGGGGAUCAAACAGG